This 468-nucleotide ribosomal RNA is filed under the name uncultured bacterium. RNAcentral describes it as "SSU rRNA". It matches the Rfam family "Bacterial small subunit ribosomal RNA", at positions 26 to 518 of the family's 1533-position model. The record is from RNAcentral.
AGGACAAACGCUGGCGGCGUACUUAAGACAUGCAAGUCGAACGGGCGCUUCACCUUCGGGUGGGUGUGCUAGUGGCGGACGGGUGAGUAACGCGUAGGAACCUGUCAUCAAGAGGGGGAUAACGCUGGGAAACCGGCGCUAAUACCGCAUGUGGUCAUGAAAAUGAAGAAAGCAGCAAUGCGCUUGAUGAGGGGCCUGCGUCCGAUUAGCUUGUUGGUGGGGUAAAGGCCUACCAAGGCAUCGAUCGGUAGCUGGUCUGAGAGGAUGGUCAGCCACACUGGGACUGAGACACGGCCCAGACUCCUACGGGAGGCAGCAGUUAGGAAAUUUUCCCAAUGGGCGCAAGCCUGAGGGAGUAACGCCGCGUGGAGGAUGACGGCUUUCGGGUUGUAAACUCCUUUUCUGUGGGAAGAGUAGAAGACGGUACCGCAGGAAUAAGCCUCGGCUAACUACGUGCCAGCACGCCGC